RNAcentral lists this long non-coding RNA (1675 nucleotides) under Anas platyrhynchos platyrhynchos (common mallard). Its description in RNAcentral is "lncRNA (ENSAPLG00000024271.1)". The record is from RNAcentral. Lineage: Eukaryota; Metazoa; Chordata; Aves; Anseriformes; Anatidae.
AAUUUAAACACUCUUCUACUGUCACACCUCGAGUAAACCCUUCCGGAGACCCGAGAAACUAUACGGAGAGACACAGCCAAGCCAAAGCACACCUGCAUACGUGUGUUUAAAGAGAUGCUGAACAGAGCUCUGAGUUCAAGGGGAAGAAGGCAAGGUUGGUUUGGGGAACGGCAGCGCGCCUGGCAGGAGAUGGUUUCCUCAGUGUGUGGCAAGUGUUUCUUCAAGAAAUUCAUCAGCCCUUCUACAAUUACUUGGAGCUCUGAGGGAAGAGAGCUGCCAUCACUUUCUCACAUCCCAAGGUGUUGCAUGGAGGAGGGAAGAAAAGGCUGGAGCAUUUAAUUACAAUGGGAGGCGGGGGAGAAUGGGGGAGCGGAGGCUGCAGAAAGCCGCCCCAAGCCUGUACCUGGAAAAGAAAACCCGCCCGGGUGUAUGUGGGAGACGCGUGCCGUGUAGGGCUGGGGAAAAGUACCCCAUCUCGUGCGAUAAUUAGUCUGAACAAUAAACAUAAUUGGAAUAAAAUCAGUUGGAAAUUCCUGCGUUUUUAAUUACGUUUCAUUUUGUGGUAAGCCGUAAAAUUAUGAAUACCUCUCAAUUAAACACUAUCCACUUGUAAAGCAUUUAACAACAAUUAUUCCUUAAUCAGUCGGAAUGUUAGCCACAAACGAUGCUGUUAAACAUCAAAGGGACGCCUUAGACGUUACCUUUUAGUCAUAAGUAAGAGGAUUAAUUUCUGUAAUUAGAGGGGAUAAAUAUGUGCAUAAAUACAUCUAAUUUUUUUACACGUUCUCAUCCUGUCUGGGAGAGGCGAGGAUCUUUGACAUCGCCAGCACUUCCAGCUCUUCCCCCGGCUCCGAGGAGGCGCCCGGCCGCGGCGAGGUGCCAGCACCCCCGCAGGGAGGCCCGAUGCUGCGCGGGGCUCCGUGCCCCUCCGCGCCCGCUGGGGCCACCACCAAGGCGGGGGCUCAGCCUCGGGCCCACCGCGGCCACAGCAGGACUUCGGGGCAAUUUGCAGCCCUCCUCGGGUUUCAACAAAGCAGCCGGCCCUUCUCCGGGGUGGUUUCACGUCCGAAGAGUUUGCGGCGGGGGCCCCGGGGCCGCGCAAGGCAAUCUCCGCCGGCUCCGCGCAGGGCUGGCUGCAGGCGGAGCCGGGCCGCACCAGGAAGAUGCGCCCCGGCACAAAGGCACACGCCCGGGUUGCCGCAGGGGCAUCCUUGAGUGGUGCUGGUUCUGGACAUGCGGUUUCACAUGUUUUUCCAAUCGUUCGAACCCAAAUAUGUGCACCCCUCACCCUCCACCCCUACCCUCCCCCGCCUUCUCCUUCCUAGGAAUGUGCAUAAUAAAAGCCAACAGUCCGGGACUCUCCCCCCUUGCUGCAUGUGCCGGACAGCGAGCCGUGGAGGGACGUGGUCCCCCCAGCUGGGAAGCCAAAGGCAGGCUGCCAGACCUCCUCCCAGGACUUCCGAGGGCAGCUGGAUGUCUCCGGCCCCGUCGGCACAGGGGGAACCUGGCUUCAGCCUUAGCAUCAGCUCAACCGUCCCGCUGGCGUCGGACGCCUCCCUCGCCGCCACUAGACCCCCCGAAUGCCUCUCGCAGCCGUCGCCAAACUGGAGGUCGGGAAAGUCGUCCCAGGAGCGGAGCCCCCAACCGCGACUCGAGCGAAGAAGCGAACGUGUGA